Molecule: ribosomal RNA, 301 nt
Filed under: uncultured bacterium
Lineage: Bacteria
Description: partial 16S ribosomal RNA
Rfam family: Bacterial small subunit ribosomal RNA
Source: RNAcentral
CAGUCGCCACGGUAAUACGUAGGUGGCAAGCGUUGUCCGGAAUUAUUGGGCGUAAAGGGCUCGCAGGCGGUUUCUUAAGUCUGAUGUGAAAGCCCCCGGCUCAACCGGGGAGGGUCAUUGGAAACUGGGAAACUUGAGUGCAGAAGAGGAGAGUGGAAUUCCACGUGUAGCGGUGAAAUGCGUAGAGAUGUGGAGGAACACCAGUGGCGAAGGCGACUCUCUGGUCUGUAACUGGCGCUGAGGAGCGAAAGCGUGGGGAGCGAACAGGAUUAGAUACCCCAGUAGUCCCUGUCUCUUAUAC